Molecule: long non-coding RNA, 467 nt
Organism: Equus caballus (horse)
Lineage: Eukaryota; Metazoa; Chordata; Mammalia; Perissodactyla; Equidae
Source: RefSeq, a predicted model, not a curated record
UCGAACCACUUCCGCAAUAAAGCUACGCACCAGGCUAUUGGCCGUGGGGUGAGGCGCGCAGAGAUGACGUAAAGGAAACUAUUUUAAAUGUUCUUUUUAUUUUGUUCAGCGGUUCAGAAGACGUCCUGUAAUUUUCACUUUUGGUCCCGUUGUUAGGUUGUAAUACCGCAGUUGAGAAGAAAGAAACAGCUAAGUAAUCGAGAAAAAUGCCGCCUCUUGAAACGGAUAUAGCGGUGGAAACAGAAGAGAAAGGAUUGAGUAUGUUAUAAUACAGGAGCUUAAAAGACAUAUGCUCAAAGAUAAAGAGGCUAAUGUCAGAGCACUUGAAAAGUAUCAGGGAGUUGAGAGAGAUGACAGAAAUGUGCAAGCCUGAUGAGGCACAAAAUCGAAUUACUGAAGUAAAUGCAAAACAAGACAAAUUCUCACAACAUGCCGGAAAAAAGGGAAAACAAAUCAAAAUAAGAAAA